RNAcentral lists this unclassified non-coding RNA (263 nucleotides) under uncultured fungus. RNAcentral describes it as "sequence contains ITS1". The record is from RNAcentral. Lineage: Eukaryota; Fungi.
GUAUUGAUUGCGUGUUAUCGCAAAAAUGGGGGUCAUUCUACACUUUUAAAAUAGGGGUUUGUGUGAAAACGCAAGCCCCCCUCCCGGAUCGGUUUGAUCCCAAAGGGUUGCCCACGCGGUGGUGCACAAAAGGGUGAGAUGGAUUUUAUGUGAGAGGACGCGCUCCGGCGUGCACGACCUUUGUGUUAAAAGUCAGCGACAGCCCUCACGCGCCUCACACAUUUUGUACGAUAAUGAUCCUUCCGCAGGUUCACCUACGGAAA